UUCUCAUUCUCUUUUCUCGCCUCUCUCAUUCAGUUUUUCUCUUUCUUCUAUGGCCUCUCACUCUCUCUUUCUUCUCUUCAUCAAUCCUCUUAGUUUUCUCUUCGUCAUCGAGAAUUCAAGAUCGCCAAGGGCCGCUGCUCUGUCUACACUCUUCUCUUCUUCAUAAUCCGCAGAUCCAGAGCCUCUUUCUCAAAGAUGAAGGUGAUCGCUGCAUAUUUGCUCGCUGUGUUGGGUGGCAAGACCAGCCCUAGAAUCUGCCGAAGACAUCCUUGGCGCCGGAGCUUUCUGUUCGGAGUUUUCUGUUCAGUUCGUGGGUAUGUUGGGAUGUGGGUAUCAGUUCGUGCCAAUGUCUGGAGACAGUCUGCAAGGGAGGCAUUGCAGAUUUGCAGCAACCUCAUUCAAGUUGGUGACUACUGACUCUGUCUAUAAGAUUGCAAGUUAAAUCUUUGAACAAUGUCAAUCUUGGUGCUAUUCUUAAGGGAGGCUCGUCGAGUCAAGUUGUAGACUGCAUUCUGUGUCUCUUGUUACUAGUAUCUUGUUGAAGUACUACAUUGGCUUGGCCUGUUUUUGAAAGAUCUUACUACCUCUAUUGAUAGCUUAUGGUUCAGCAACAAUGGGACAGCUCUAUUUCUUUCACAUGAUUCUCAUUAAGAAGGCCAUCCUGCCACCAGACCUUGAAGAGAACCUGAGGCUGAGAUGUAAGGGCAGUAGGGCUACCAUUCAUGCACUUCGGCUCCGGUAGGAGAGGGAUAUAUAUAUUUUUUUUUUGGGGUUAUUCAAUUCUGGGGAUGGUUUGCUCUUUUUAUUUUUUAUUCUCGUUUUGUUUUGUGGCUCCAAUGGCCUGUUUUUUAAUUGCCUAAAAGGCUCCAAUGGCCUUGGACUAUAUUGUUGAUGGACAUUAUAAAUUUUGGACUCAGUUCUUUAUUUUGAA
This is a long non-coding RNA of Rosa chinensis, 931 nucleotides long. RefSeq lists it as uncharacterized. Lineage: Eukaryota; Viridiplantae; Streptophyta; Magnoliopsida; Rosales; Rosaceae. The record is from RefSeq and is a predicted model, not a curated record. The transcript has 7 exons.